Molecule: long non-coding RNA, 1778 nt
Organism: Chinchilla lanigera (long-tailed chinchilla)
Lineage: Eukaryota; Metazoa; Chordata; Mammalia; Rodentia; Chinchillidae
Source: Ensembl
GUGGGAGAUUUACUGCCAUAGUUGUUAAAGCGCCACUAUCAUCACCACCUCCACAAUCUCCAAACAGUCGGCCAGGUGUUCCUAGUUUGCAGUGAUUUAAUCCUCAUGAAUUUUUAUUUAAUUUUAUAAAUUGUACUUGCUCAAUUAAAAAAAAAAAAAACCUCCUCAUUGGAGAAGAACUCCACAACCCUGUCCCUGCAGCCCCUCCACAACGCUGACUUAGAGAAAGCAGAAUGCUACUUGGGGGGAGCCCACACCUCAAGACUUCAGCUCCUCGCACCGGAAAGAGGAGCCGCUGCUUCCUCGGAGCCUGCCUGCCCUUGACGGCGGACGAGACCCUGCUCACCCCUGCGCAGCCUCUGGACGGCGGGCAGCGGCUCACCCGCUCCGGAGCGGUCCGCUCAUGGCUCACUUAACCCACGUUCCAGGGCCGCCAGGGCUGCUGAAUCUGCGCUAAAAGUGUCAGCGUGGAGACUUGCAGUGCACCAGACAGUUCAGCGCAGAUGCUACAUUAGCACAGUGGCUCCGCGCCUCCUUCUGCCCUCCCUGCAUCUUCCGCUAAAGCCCUCCUCACCGCUCUGCCCUCGCCCCAAGGGACAGGGCGGCGAAGAGCAGCCUCUGGAACCACUGCUGCCGACACACACCGCUCGCUGCGCCGCACCCUUCAUGGAGGCGACCAAGGGAGAGGACUCCAGCAUAAAGGAAUGGCGGGGAAGAUCGCAAGUGAGACAGAACCACAGUCGGCAGGGAAAAAAGGAGCAGGAGGAGACCUGAGGGGAACCUAGGCCAGAGAUACGGACGAGAACGCGCGAAGGAGCCUGCCGGGCGCACUUCCUCUGCUGUGAGACACUGCACAGCUGCUGGAACGGCCGUGCCUACCAACCCGUCUUUGAAGCUUCGCUGUGAGAAGAGGUGAGCUGGUCUGGAAGGAACUCCAGGUUUCAGAUGCCCAGCGAUCCCCUGUCGUCUGCGGACACAAGAGUGAAAAUGAGCUCCACUGAAUUCCUUGAUUUCCAAGCAACUUUCAGUUUCCUGCUGUCUCCUGGGACCCGUGGUUCUCACAGCUUGGCUUUAGUGAACUCUCUUCUCCCCCACUUGCAGUUUCCCUCAAAGCACUUCCAAGAUGCUUUGCUUCUGCUUUAAAGCUCACUGACCUUUGCAACCGGGAAGCCUGUGCCGCUGGGCCCAUAUGGCUGCCUUGCAGGCCAGAGGCCAGCAGCCAGGUUGCCCUUCCUGUAGUCUGAUUCUUUCUGUGUGUCCAUUUUCAAUUUCCAGUCACAGCCCGAUCCAUUAAAAGCUCUUAUUCUCAGCAAACCUCUUGAACAAGCUCUAAUGUGCUGUUUCUUAGUACAACGUCGCUCUUGCAUUUCAGGUCAGUGUUGGGACUAACUUAGGCACAGUGACUUAGCAUCCCCUCAUUCCUGCCCUUUCUACCUUCCCUGCAUCAGUCUUGGGUUGCUUUUCUCACACUUCCAUGCCACCAAGUCUUUUGCAAGUAGCCAUGGAAGUUUAGCAGACGGGGUAGCACUUAACAACCCAAUCUACACAAAAACAUUAGCAAAAAUGCCCGUAGGAGCAGCUCAGCUUUCUAUAGGUAUGCUCGGAGCUUCUCCAAGGACAUCCUUAGACACAGCUACCAUGCUGAGCCGGGAAAACGAACAGCCAGGUCUUCUGCAGCAUUUGUGCUCCUGCGUAUCUUCAUAAGGAGGAAAUCUCCGCUGACAUGGAGUGAUCAUCUUUUGGGGGGGAAAAACAGUUCUUAGGAUCCAAGGUCCUGC